This 73-nucleotide transfer RNA is filed under the name Anaerolineales bacterium. RNAcentral's name for it is "tRNA-Ser". It matches the Rfam family "tRNA". Rfam says of the family: Transfer RNA (tRNA) molecules are approximately 80 nucleotides in length. Their secondary structure includes four short double-helical elements and three loops (D, anti-codon, and T loops). Further hydrogen bonds mediate the characteristic L-shaped molecular structure. tRNAs have two regions of fundamental functional importance: the anti-codon, which is responsible for specific mRNA codon recognition, and the 3' end, to which the tRNAs corresponding amino acid is attached (by aminoacyl-tRNA synthetases). tRNAs cope with the degeneracy of the genetic code in two manners: having more than one tRNA (with a specific anti-codon) for a particular amino acid; and 'wobble' base-pairing, i.e. permitting non-standard base-pairing at the 3rd anti-codon position. Lineage: Bacteria; Bacillati; Chloroflexota; Anaerolineae; Anaerolineales. The record is from RNAcentral.
GCCUCAGUAGCUCAAUGGAUAGAGCGCAAGUCUACUAAACUUAGGGUUGAGGGUUCGAGACCCUCCUGAGGCA